GUGGCGGCAGCGGGGCGCGGCGCGCUCCCCGCCACGCCGCACAUCAAGGCCCGGCCGGCCGGCGGGCGCCUUCAUUAGCAGCCUGAAAUUAUAAUAUUAUGUUAAAGAACAAAGCUGCUCCCCGGAAAAAUAUGUGCUGCAUAUCUGACAAAGAUAAAUUGGAUUAUUCAAAAUAUUCCUGAUGAAAUGUUACAUUUUGCAACUAAUUAUCAAUCUGUUUUAUCUGCAGACCAGCUGGGCAUUUUUUGUGCAUGCGAGGCCUGCCUCCGCAAUGAUCUUAAGAUGUCACCGUAGCGUUUACAUCUUUUAUUUCAAGAUUUAAAUAACUAGGAAGUAGCUAAUGUAAUUCACUGCUGAGAAGAAAGGCGAGUUCCUUGAUUCCUUUCCAAAGCGAUCUCCUCCUAAUGAACUUCUUUGGACUCGACUGAUAGAAGGGCAUCCCCACGGCGAAGCAAUCUUAGAUCUUCAGCCAGAGCGGACCCUUUGGCGACAGUGGACGGAGAAGGCAGCGCGGGGCUUCGUGCCCAUUGUACAGACGACAAAGCUGAGGCUCAAGGAAGUAGAAGCAGUGACUUGCUCGAAGGUACCCUGGGAGGUAGGGUGGGUGCAGGGCUUGUAAGCCUCUGCACAGCCCCCCACCCCCCCCACCCCCCGGGCUCCGACACACACAUUCUAAGCGCUCCACUUAGAUGGAUGAAAGAUGAAUUUAUAAUUGAUGGGAGGAACACGUGGGAACCUGUCAGGAUGUGGAUUUCCCUUCUCAGUUGAGAGGUCUUCAAAGUGGUUAUGAGGGAGCAUGCCAAGGAAAAUCAAGCAGCCAUUUUCCCCACUAAAAAUGACAGAACGUACAUUCUUCUUGCUUUUCUCAUUGAUUUCAUUCUGACUGCUUUUCCAUAAAAUUAUCCCCAGACAGGUUCUCAGAGCUGUCACGAAGCCAUUUGAAAUUUUGCAUGAAGCACAUUUAUGUGUGCAUUUCUAUACCUAUCUAUAUAACUCCCCCCUCCCUUAUUUGGCUUGGUUAGAAAAUGUCUUUUGUUCAGACUGCAAAAGAAAAUUACACCUGAUCUAACUCCCUGCCUGAUUUGACUCCUGGGUAUUUUAUUUUGACGUUCCUAUAUUAAUAGUCAAAUUGGAGUGCUGAGAAACAUAAGGACUUAACACCGACUGGACCUCCUUAAGUCUGCGCUUUCUGGUGAGUCUCGCCUUCCGGUUUUCAAAUGCUUGUUUCUGCCAAGAUGCCUCUUUUGUGAGAAUCCAUGGUGGUCCUGGAUGUGGAGGUGCUGGGGACUCGAAGGGCUCAGAAGGGACCCCACUGGCCUUUGGGUUUUCCCAGUCAGUCUCCUGGGUCUUUUGCCCGAAGUGAAUUUUGGGCUUUCAUCAGAUGAUGG
Molecule: long non-coding RNA, 1388 nt
Filed under: Felis catus (domestic cat)
Lineage: Eukaryota; Metazoa; Chordata; Mammalia; Carnivora; Felidae
Description: lncRNA (ENSFCAG00000041591.2)
Source: RNAcentral